GACGAACGCUGGCGGCGUGCCUAAUACAUGCAAGUAGAACGCACAGUUUAUACCGUAGCUUGCUACACCAUAGACUGUGAGUUGCGAACGGGUGAGUAACGCGUAGGUAACCUGCCUGGUAGCGGGGGAUAACUAUUGGAAACGAUAGCUAAUACCGCAUAAUAUUAAUUAUUGCAUGAUAAUUAAUUGAAAGGUGCAAUUGCACCACUACCAGAUGGACCUGCGUUGUAUUAGCUAGUAGGUGAGGUAACGGCUCACCUAGGCGACGAUACAUAGCCGACCUGAGAGGGUGAGCGGCCACACUGGGACUGAGACACGGCCCAGACUACUACGGGAGGCAGCAGUAGGGAAUCUUCGGCAAUGGACGAAAGUCUGACCGAGCAACGCCGCGUGAGUGAAGAAGGUUUUCGGAUCGUAAAGCUCUGUUGUAAGAGAAGAACGGGUGUGAGAGUGGAAAGUUCACACUGUGACGGUAUCUUACCAGAAAGGGACGGCUAACUACGUG
RNAcentral lists this ribosomal RNA (505 nucleotides) under uncultured bacterium. Its description in RNAcentral is "partial 16S ribosomal RNA". It matches the Rfam family "Bacterial small subunit ribosomal RNA", at positions 28 to 507 of the family's 1533-position model. The record is from RNAcentral.